UUAGCGGCGGACGGGUGAGUAACACGUGGGUAACCUGCCUGUAAGACUGGGAUAACUCCGGGAAACCGGAGCUAAUACCGGAUAGUUCCUUGAACCGCAUGGUUCAAGGAUGAAAGACGGUUUCGGCUGUCACUUACAGAUGGACCCGCGGCGCAUUAGCUAGUUGGUGAGGUAACGGCUCACCAAGGCGACGAUGCGUAGCCGACCUGAGAGGGUGAUCGGCCACACUGGGACUGAGACACGGCCCAGACUCCUACGGGAGGCAGCAGUAGGGAAUCUUCCGCAAUGGACGAAAGUCUGACGGAGCAACGCCGCGUGAGUGAUGAAGGUUUUCGGAUCGUAAAGCUCUGUUGUUAGGGAAGAACAAGUGCAAGAGUAACUGCUUGCACCUUGACGGUACCUAACCAGAAAGCCACGGCUAACUACGUGCCAGCAGCCGCGGUAAUACGUAGGUGGCAAGCGUUGUCCGGAAUUAUUGGGCGUAAAGGGCUCGCAGGCGGUUUCUUAAGUCUGAUGUGAAAGCCCCCGGCUCAACCGGGGAGGGUCAUUGGAAACUGGGAAACUUGAGUGCAGAAGAGGAGAGUGGAAGUCCACGUGUACCGGUG
RNAcentral lists this ribosomal RNA (605 nucleotides) under Bacillus sp. (in: firmicutes). RNAcentral describes it as "bacterial SSU rRNA". It matches the Rfam family "Bacterial small subunit ribosomal RNA", at positions 92 to 683 of the family's 1533-position model. The record is from RNAcentral. Lineage: Bacteria; Bacillati; Bacillota; Bacilli; Caryophanales; Bacillaceae.